This 1026-nucleotide ribosomal RNA is filed under the name uncultured bacterium. RNAcentral's name for it is "bacterial SSU rRNA". It matches the Rfam family "Bacterial small subunit ribosomal RNA", at positions 63 to 1036 of the family's 1533-position model. The record is from RNAcentral.
CGAACGGGGCGAUUGAAAGCUUGCUUUUAAAAGCCUAGUGGCAAACGGGUGAGUAACGCGUAGGCAACCUACCUCUAAGAUGGGGACAGCAGAGCGAAAGUUCUGCUAAUACCGAAUGUUGUAAUCUAUCCGCAUGAAUGGAUUAUUAAAGAUGGCCUCUAUUUAUAAGCUAUCACUUAGAGAUGGGCCUGCGUCUGAUUAGCUAGUUGGUGAGGUAACGGCUUACCAAGGCGACGAUCAGUAGCCGGUCUGAGAGGAUGAAGCGACGAUCAGUAGCCGGACUGAGAGGUCGAUCGGCCCACAUUCCUACUGGAGACAGCAGUGGGGAAUCUUACGGAAUGCAGCAGUAAGCCUUACGGAGCAACGCCGCGUGAGCCUGACCCAGCAACGUCGUCGUGAUCGUAGAAGCUCUCUCGGCGGGUACGAACGGUAUAUGUAUCAAUGAUAUGUAGAAAGUGACGGUACCUGAAGAGGAAGCCACGGCUAACUACGUGCCAGCAGACCGCGGUAAUACGUAGGUGGCUAGCGUUGUCCGGAAUUACUCGGGCGUAAAGGGAGCGUAGGCGGGAAGGCAGGUCAGAUGUGAAAUGUGCGGGGCUCAAACCCCGGAAGUGCAUCUGAAACCACUUUUCUUGAGUAUCGGAGAGGCAGGCGGAAUUCCUAGUGUAGCGGUGAAAUGCAUAGAUAUUAGGAAGAACACCAGUGGCGGAGGCGGCCUGCUGGACGGCAACUGACGCUGAGGCGCGAAAGCGUGGGGAGCAAACAGGAUUAGAUACCCUGGUAGUCCACGCCGUAAACGAUGGAUACUAGGUGUGGGGAGUAUUGAUCCUCUCCGUGCCGCCGUUAACACAGUAAGUAUCCCACCUGGGGAGUACGACCGCAAGGUUGAAACUCAAAGGAAUUGACGGGGGUCCGCACAAGCAGUGGAUUAUGUGGUUUAAUCCGACGCAACGCGAAGAACCUUACCAGGGCUUGACAUCCUACUAACGAAGCAGAGAUGCAUUAGUGCCCUUCGGGAAAGAGACC